UAAUCUGUCUGGUGCCGAUCUUCAUCUAGUUGGGACAAACCCACACGUACAUGACUGCCCAUAAUCAUUCAUUAUUUAUUCCUCCUCCAAAUAAGAAGUCAAGUAUUAGACAUUGAA
This is a non-coding RNA of Populus trichocarpa (black cottonwood), 117 nucleotides long. NCBI's taxonomy places the organism in Eukaryota, Viridiplantae, Streptophyta, Magnoliopsida, Malpighiales, Salicaceae. The record is from Rfam.